Long non-coding RNA from Arabidopsis thaliana (thale cress), 295 nucleotides. RefSeq annotates it as other RNA. The transcript has a single exon. NCBI's taxonomy places the organism in Eukaryota, Viridiplantae, Streptophyta, Magnoliopsida, Brassicales, Brassicaceae. The record is from RefSeq.
GAGCACGAAGCUUCUUCACGGCCUUGGAAUCAUGUACGGUCUUGGACUCUUCAUUAGCAUCUUGGAGACGCUUAUGAAUCUCGUCGACAGCUUUCAUGUCUUCUUUAACACUCUCGACAUAUCCAAAGAACUCAUCGAGGUUGCCUGAAUCAAGAGAAACAUUUUGAGACUCGAUGUCAUCGAGUUGGACCUGGUGGUUUAAGUCUGUGUAUCUCUUGAAUGAGCUUGAGAUAAGAUCGUUCAUGGCGACGAUCAAGAACUUAGAGAAAAAUGAUUUCUAAUUUCUUGAAAAUGG